AAUUACAAAGAUGCCCUCGUCCCGGCAUUAAAUACACCUCCCCGCUCGGCCUGAUCCCCUCCCCCUUCCCUCUUCUCCGCCUCCGAUUGGAGUGGCUCGCCUUCUUCCCCGCAGCCAGCACGAGCUUGUCGAGAUUUCAGCUCGUUUCUCCGCCAGAGGUCGAGCAGGCCAGCCUCCCAGGACCGAAGCUCUGCCCGGUUCGCCAGUCCAGGAACUGCUGCUCUCCCGGAGCCAGAGAUCCAAACAAACCUCUGCGUUGGGGUUCUCCGGGGUUCCUUGCGCUGGAGGGAGGUUUCGUUCUCGCCGGCCAUGGUUUGGCUGAGAAGAAGCAGCAGCAUAUUGAUGCGAAAUCUCUGAGCUUUAUGAAGAUCGCCACUCACCUGCGCCGCUCCUGCUUCCUCCACUCCUUCUCGGUCGUCUUCCUCUACUGGUUUUAUGUGAUCUCGUAACUUGCCCUCCCCCGGAUCCGCCAUUCCCCGUGCCCUCUCUCUCUCUCUCUCUCUCUCUCUCUCUCUCUCUCUCUCUCUCUCUCUCUCUCUCUCUCUCUCUCUCUCUCUCUCU
Zea mays is the source of this 561-nucleotide long non-coding RNA. RefSeq lists it as uncharacterized. The record is from RefSeq and is marked validated. The transcript has a single exon. Lineage: Eukaryota; Viridiplantae; Streptophyta; Magnoliopsida; Poales; Poaceae.